This 3311-nucleotide ribosomal RNA is filed under the name Saccharomyces cerevisiae YJM1250. Its description in RNAcentral is "21S ribosomal RNA". The stretch from base 191 to 3156 matches the Rfam family "Bacterial large subunit ribosomal RNA". The record is from RNAcentral. Lineage: Eukaryota; Fungi; Ascomycota; Saccharomycetes; Saccharomycetales; Saccharomycetaceae.
GUAAAAAGUAGAAUAAUAGAUUUGAAAUAUUUAUUAUAUAGAUUUAAAGAGAUAAUCAUGGAGUAUAAAAAUUAAAUUUAAUAAAUUUAAUAUAACUAUUAAUAGAAUUAGGUUACUAAUAAAUUAAUAACAAUUAAUUUUAAAACCUAAAGGUAAACCUUUAUAUUAAUAAUGUUUUUUUUUUUUUAUUUUUAUAAUUAAGAAUAAUUAUUAAUAAUAAUAAACUAAGUGAACUGAAACAUCUAAGUAACUUAAGGAUAAUAAAUCAACAGAGAUAUUAUGAGUAUUGGUGAGAGAAAAUAAUAAAGGUCUAAUAAGUAUUAUGUGAAAAAAAUGUAAGAAAAUAGGAUAACAAAUUCUAAGACUAAAUACUAUUAAUAAGUAUAGUAAGUACCGUAAGGGAAAGUAUGAAAAUGAUUAUUUUAUAAGCAAUCAUGAAUAUAUUAUAUUAUAUUAAUGAUGUACCUUUUGUAUAAUGGGUCAGCAAGUAAUUAAUAUUAGUAAAACAAUAAGUUAUAAAUAAAUAGAAUAAUAUAUAUAUAUAAAAAAAUAUAUUAAAAUAUUUAAUUAAUAUUAAUUGACCCGAAAGCAAACGAUCUAACUAUGAUAAGAUGGAUAAACGAUCGAACAGGUUGAUGUUGCAAUAUCAUCUGAUUAAUUGUGGUUAGUAGUGAAAGACAAAUCUGGUUUGCAGAUAGCUGGUUUUCUAUGAAAUAUAUGUAAGUAUAGCCUUUAUAAAUAAUAAUUAUUAUAUAAUAUUAUAUAAAUAUUAUAUAAAGAAUGGUACAGCAAUUAAUAUAUAUUAGGGAACUAUUAAAGUUUUAUUAAUAAUAUUAAAUCUCGAAAUAUUUAAUUAUAUAUAAUAAAGAGUCAGAUUAUGUGCGAUAAGGUAAAUAAUCUAAAGGGAAACAGCCCAGAUUAAGAUAUAAAGUUCCUAAUAAAUAAUAAGUGAAAUAAAUAUUAAAAUAUUAUAAUAUAAUCAGUUAAUGGGUUUGACAAUAACCAUUUUUUAAUGAACAUGUAACAAUGCACUGAUUUAUAAUAAAUAAAAAAAAUAAUAUUUAAAAUCAAAUAUAUAUAUAUUUGUUAAUAGAUAAUAUACGGAUCUUAAUAAUAAGAAUUAUUUAAUUCCUAAUAUGGAAUAUUAUAUUUUUAUAAUAAUAAUAAAAAUAUAAAUACUGAAUAUCUAAAUAUUAUUAUUACUUUUUUUUUUAAUAAUAAUAAUAUGGUAAUAGAACAUUUAAUGAUAAUAUAUAUUAGUUAUUAAUUAAUAUAUGUAUUAAUUAAAUAGAGAAUGCUGACAUGAGUAACGAAAAAAAGGUAUAAACCUUUUCACCUAAAACAUAAGGUUUAACUAUAAAAGUACGGCCCCUAAUUAAAUUAUAUAAGAAUAUAAAUAUAUUUAAGAUGGGAUAAUCUAUAUUAAUAAAAAUUUAUCUUAAAAUAUAUAUAUUAUUAAUAAUUAUAUUAAUUAAUUAAUAAUAUAUAUAAUUAUAUUAUAUAUUAUAUUUUUAUAUAUAAUAUAUAUAAUAUAAACUAAUAAAGAUCAGGAAAUAAUUAAUGUAUACCGUAAUGUAGACCGACUCAGGUAUGUAAGUAGAGAAUAUGAAGGUGAAUUAGAUAAUUAAAGGGAAGGAACUCGGCAAAGAUAGCUCAUAAGUUAGUCAAUAAAGAGUAAUAAGAACAAAGUUGUACAACUGUUUACUAAAAACACCGCACUUUGCAGAAACGAUAAGUUUAAGUAUAAGGUGUGAACUCUGCUCCAUGCUUAAUAUAUAAAUAAAAUUAUUUAACGAUAAUUUUAUUAAAUUUAGGUAAAUAGCAGCCUUAUUAUGAGGGUUAUAAUGUAGCGAAAUUCCUUGGCCUAUAAUUGAGGUCCCGCAUGAAUGACGUAAUGAUACAACAACUGUCUCCCCUUUAAGCUAAGUGAAAUUGAAAUCGUAGUGAAGAUGCUAUGUACCUUCAGCAAGACGGAAAGACCCUAUGCAGCUUUACUGUAAUUAGAUAGAUCGAAUUAUUGUUUAUUAUAUUCAGCAUAUUAAGUAAUCCUAUUAUUAGGUAAUCGUUUAGAUAUUAAUGAGAUACUUAUUAUAAUAUAAUGAUAAUUCUAAUCUUAUAAAUAAUUAUUAUUAUUAUUAUUAAUAAUAAUAAUAUGCUUUCAAGCAUAGUGAUAAAACAUAUUUAUAUGAUAAUCACUUUACUUAAUAGAUAUAAUUCUUAAGUAAUAUAUAAUAUAUAUUUUAUAUAUAUUAUAUAUAAUAUAAGAGACAAUCUCUAAUUGGUAGUUUUGAUGGGGCGUCAUUAUCAGCAAAAGUAUCUGAAUAAGUCCAUAAAUAAAUAUAUAAAAUUAUUGAAUAAAAAAAAUAAUAUAUAUUAUAUAUAUUAAUUAUAAAUUGAAAUAUGUUUAUAUAAAUUUAUAUUUAUUGAAUAUAUUUUAGUAAUAGAUAAAAAUAUGUACAGUAAAAUUGUAAGGAAAACAAUAAUAACUUUCUCCUCUCUCGGUGGGGGUUCACACCUAUUUUUAAUAGGUGUUCACCCCUCUUCGGGGUUCCGGUUCCCUUUCGGGUCCCGGAACUUAAAUAAAAAUGGAAAGAAUUAAAUUAAUAUAAUGGUAUAACUGUGCGAUAAUUGUAACACAAACGAGUGAAACAAGUACGUAAGUAUGGCAUAAUGAACAAAUAACACUGAUUGUAAAGGUUAUUGAUAACGAAUAAAAGUUACGCUAGGGAUAACAGGGUAAUAUAACGAAAGAGUAGAUAUUGUAAGUUAUGUUUGCCACCUCGAUGUCGACUCAACAUUUCCUCUUGGUUGUAAAAGCUAAGAAGGGUUUGACUGUUCGUCAAUUAAAAUGUUACGUGAGUUGGGUUAAAUACGAUGUGAAUCAGUAUGGUUCCUAUCUGCUGAAGGAAAUAUUAUCAAAUUAAAUCUCAUUAUUAGUACGCAAGGACCAUAAUGAAUCAACCCAUGGUGUAUCUAUUGAUAAUAAUAUAAUAUAUUUAAUAAAAAUAAUACUUUAUUAAUAUAUUAUCUAUAUUAGUUUAUAUUUUAAUUAUAUAUUAUCAUAGUAGAUAAGCUAAGUUGAUAAUAAAUAAAUAUUGAAUACAUAUUAAAUAUGAAGUUGUUUUAAUAAGAUAAUUAAUCUGAUAAUUUUAUACUAAAAUUAAUAAUUAUAGGUUUUAUAUAUUAUUUAUAAAUAAAUAUAUUAUAAUAAUAAUAAUUAUUAUUAUUAAUAAAAAAUAUUAAUUAUAAUAUUAAUAAAAUACUAAUUUAUCAGUUAUCUAUAUAAUAUCUAAUCUAUUAUUCUAUAUACU